GGAGAUGUAACUCAGAGGUAGAGUACUUGCCUUGUAUGCAUAAGGCAAACCCUGGGUUCGAUCCCCACCAUUGCAU
This 76-nucleotide transfer RNA is filed under the name Cricetulus griseus (Chinese hamster). It matches the Rfam family "tRNA". From Rfam's summary of the family: Transfer RNA (tRNA) molecules are approximately 80 nucleotides in length. Their secondary structure includes four short double-helical elements and three loops (D, anti-codon, and T loops). Lineage: Eukaryota; Metazoa; Chordata; Mammalia; Rodentia; Cricetidae. The record is from Rfam by way of RNAcentral.